GGUCAUCUAAUCAUGCGUGGGGGCAGCCCUGUUAUGUCCUGAAUUCAAAAGUCAGAGAAGAUCUGCAUUUCUACCCUACUGCCACCUAAUAUCAU
This 95-nucleotide long non-coding RNA is filed under the name Mustela putorius furo (domestic ferret). Its description in RNAcentral is "lncRNA (ENSMPUG00000030883.1)". The record is from RNAcentral. Lineage: Eukaryota; Metazoa; Chordata; Mammalia; Carnivora; Mustelidae.